AAUUUAGCAGGACCUGGAGUCGCCUGCUCCUCUCCAGUGGGAAUGCUUCUUCUAGAAAAAUCUGAACUUGUCAUCUCACAGAGCACUCGGUGCCAAGUUAUGAAUGAAAUUACUGAAGAUAAACACUCCAUGAGUUUCUUCUCCUCUUUAGACGGGGUUUGUUCUUUUCUCGGAGCCUUUACUGCUGUGUAAGAACAAGGUGCAUCCAGYACUUCUUUCACUGUACCCCAAGCAGCACAUAAGGAAUUGUGUCUCCAAGCAUCCUCACCCCUGCAGGUGAUGGGCCAGUGCCAUCACGAGAGCCCAGACAGUUGUGCCUCUGGACAUCAAAGGACAAAGUAUCCUGAAUGAAAGGAAUGGGUUUUGCUAAGAUCCUGUGAAAACAGCCCUGGCAGAGGAAGGUGCUGAAGCCAGGCCCCAGGGCAGUGGUGAGGAUGCAGCACUCUGCCCAGCCUGCGGGCUCGCAUCAAACAGGGGUGCAGGGGGCCGUGUAUAGGCACUGCUUUCUUGCUAGUGAUCCAGAUCUGGAAAACAUCUUCCUUUUUUCUUUUUUCCCCACACCAAAAGAAGCAAACAACUCAGGAAUGAGUUUGUCAUUUAAUCAGAGGGCUAGUGAGAAGAUUUCUUUGCAAGGUCCUACCUGGUUCGGAGCAAGAUGCCUUUCCUUUUUAUUCUGGGGAGUUUUAAUAAAAGCACAAAGCCAAGACUGCCAGAGUGCAGAGCUGUUCUCUCCGGGAGAGAACCAAGAGCCCUCCUGCAGCUCCGAAUGACGUCCAUGUCUCAUCAGGUCGCUGGGACAAUUUGGAUGCCGGAUUCUCUGCUUGUAACCCCUUUUGGGAAUGUCAUUGUUCUAUAUUAUGCAUGACACAGAUCCUAUACUAUACACAACGCAGCUGCUGGUGAGAGGGARCCAGCCCUGAGAUGAAGAGGAGCCCCACGAGCUCAGCAUGGCUUGUCUGAAAAUGGGAUUUGCUGGUGGAGGCACCCGCCACUUCCUCCAUCAGAUUUCCCAUCCCAGCCCCACGAGGCUGACACGGAGGCAUGGAGCCCCGAUCUGAGGGGAUACGGUGGUCCCUGCCCCUCCACUCACUGCCAUGGCUCUCCUCAGAGACACUAGUGCUGCUAUCAAUGUGUUCCCUUUUCCGGGGAAAACUGAUACACUCACUUUUCAUGCCAGCUAAUUCAAGAUGUUGAUUUCAUUUUGCUCUGCUCUCUUCUGCCACGUACAUGCACGGUGAACGUCAUUUUUAAAGUUUGAUGACUUUCAGGAAGAUACUAUUCAUAACAAUAGUGACAUCUGAGAUACUCCCACCCUGGCAGCAUUGUAGGAAACUGAUUGGCCUUUCUCUGGAAAAUGCAGGCAGGACUACCAGCAUCUCUAUAGUUAUAGAUUUAUUUGCAUUCAAUAGUUAGAGCAAAACCCUAUACAUUUCUAAAUAUAGACAAUUAUUUUGAAAGUGUUUCAAAAUCAGUUUGCAAUUACAAGCUACAUARAAAUGGCAMAGUUUUGUAAAGGCAAAAAUACAAACUUCAUUAAAGGGAUGCUAGACAAGGACUAUGGGAGUUAGGCACCCAACAAAUCAAGCCURCUUUGAGAAGGCCAGCCUCAGUAAGGAUUUAAACUUCCUAAAAUCAAAAAUAUGAAUGUCUUCAACACAUAAAAAGGGUGAGAGGGUGAUCACACAUUACAGGCAGCAGAGGGAAGAUCAGCAUAAUUGUAGAGCAGCCAGUAAGAGUCAACCUUAAAUURAAGAAUAUAUCAUAUGUAUAGACCUAAUUAAGAGAUGCCACAAAAUGUCUAAGAAAUGUGGCAAAAUGCUCAUGCCCCAGAAAAAGCCAUACUGCCCAAUCUGAUCAGAGGGUGCAGCUAAAAAGACCAUGCAAAAUGGGAAUUGAGCAGURCCAAGACCUGGUGCCCAAGGCACCUCUACCCUCACCAGCCCUCAGCACGGCAGGAGCUGCUCUGGCUGAGGUUUGACAGGGAUGGGCAAACACCUGAGCUCUCUGCAUGUGCAAGGGAAUACAGGCAUAUGCAGGAAACUAUUAAAGGACUGGAUUAUUUCUUAAAAGAGAUMAUGUUUUCAAAGCACACAGCACAAUGCAAUCAUUCAGCAGAGAGUCAAAUGUCACAGUGGAUACAGCUGCAAGACAGUGUCACUCUUUAUUUACAGUAAAAUAUGUCAAAUAGGGAACACAAAGGCAUCRUCGGGAUAAACAUGGGACCGGAGCACACAAAGGCGGGCGGCAUCCACAGCGCAUCAGACAACCUGAAUAAAAGCCCCGACUACAAUACCAGCCCAGUUUCUAUGGUGCUCUUGAGUUAAAGGCUCCAAACAGUUUAAAUAACUGGCAUCCCACUUUUUAGUCAUAGUGAGGACUGACAUAGCCUAAAAUUUGGACUACAGAACAGCAGAAACCAGAGGUGCUCCAGAGAAAGGAUGUGCACAGAAAGGAACAGCUUCACUUGAAGAAUCAGUGGUGUGUCUGCAGGCAGCAUCCAGCCGGAGCGCCUGAGUUCACACUUUGGGAAGUUACAGUGAAAAGGGACUGAGAUGUUAUCCAAGGGCACUGAAAAACAAAGGGAAUGUUUCAUUGUGAAACACAUUUUAAUAUGCACAGGACUAGGAGCCUGUUUCAUGUGCACAUGCCAUGUACACCAAUAUUAGUAUUCAUACAUCUCWA
Long non-coding RNA from Malurus melanocephalus (red-backed fairy wren), 2682 nucleotides. RefSeq lists it as uncharacterized. The transcript is spliced from 3 exons. The record is from RefSeq and is a predicted model, not a curated record. NCBI's taxonomy places the organism in Eukaryota, Metazoa, Chordata, Aves, Passeriformes, Maluridae.